GUGUCAGCAGCCGCGGUAAUACAGAGGGUGCAAGCGUUGUUCGGAAUUAUUGGGCGUAAAGCGCGUGUAGGCGGCUUAGCAAGUCGGGCGUGAAAGCCCUCGGCUCAACCGAGGAAGUGCACCCGAAACUGCUGAGCUUGAGUGCCGGAGAGGAUGGCGGAAUACCCCAAGUAGAGGUGAAAUUCGUAGAUAUGGGGUGGAACACCGGUGGCGAAGGCGGCCAUCUGGACGGUAACUGACGCUGAGACGCGAAAGCGUGGGGAGCAAACAGGAUUAGAUACCCUGGUAGUCCACGCCGUAAACGAUGAGAACUAGAUGUCGCGGGUGUUGACCCCUGCGGUGUCGCAGCUAACGCAUUAAGUUCUCCGCCUGGGAAGUACGGUCGCAAGAUUAAA
Molecule: ribosomal RNA, 395 nt
Filed under: uncultured bacterium
Lineage: Bacteria
Description: bacterial SSU rRNA
Rfam family: Bacterial small subunit ribosomal RNA
Source: RNAcentral